AAGGCGAAAGCCGAAAAUUUUCAAGUAAAACAAAAAUGCCAAAUUAUAUAAACAAAGCGAAAAUAAUACACUUGAAUAAUUUUGAACGAAAGGGAAUACGGUUCCAAUUCCGUAACCUGUUGAGUAUCCGUUUGUUAUUAAAUAUGGGCCUCGUGCUCAUCCUGGCAACAGGAACGACCAUAAAGAAGCCGUCGAGAGAUAUCGGAAGAGUUUUCUUUUCUGUUUUAUAGCCGUACUACCAUGGAAGUCUUUCGCAGAGAGAUAUGGUAGAUGGGCUAGAAGAGCAUGACAUAUACUGUUGUGUCGAUAUUUUCUCCUCGGACCUUGAAAAUUUAUGGUGGGGACACGCAAACUUCUCAACAGGCCGUACCAAUAUCCGCAGCUGGUCUCCAAGGUGAAGAGUCUCUAGUCGAUAGAAUAAUGUAGGUAAGGGAAGUCGGCAAAUUAGAUCCGUAACUUCGGGAUAAGGAUUGGCUCUGAAGAUUGAGAUAGUCGGGCUUGAUUGGGAAACAAUAACAUGGUUUAUGUGCUCGUUCUGGGUAAAUAGAGUUUCUAGCAUUUAUGUUAGUUACUUGUUCCCCGGAUAGUUUAGUUACGUAGCCAAUUGUGGAACUUUCUUGCUAAAAUUUUUAAGAAUACUAUUUGGGUUAAACCAAUUAGUUCUUAUUAAUUAUAACGAUUAUCAAUUAACAAUCAAUUCAGAACUGGCACGGACUUGGGGAAUCCGACUGUCUAAUUAAAACAAAGCAUUGUGAUGGCCCUAGCGGGUGUUGACACAAUGUGAUUUCUGCCCAGUGCUCUGAAUGUCAAAGUGAAGAAAUUCAAGUAAGCGCGGGUCAACGGCGGGAGUAACUAUGACUCUCUUAAGGUAGCCAAAUGCCUCGUCAUCUAAUUAGUGACGCGCAUGAAUGGAUUAACGAGAUUCCUACUGUCCCUAUCUACUAUCUAGCGAAACCACAGCCAAGGGAACGGGCUUGGAAUAAUUAGCGGGGAAAGAAGACCCUUUUGAGCUUGACUCUAAUCUGGCAGUGUAAGGAGACAUAAGAGGUGUAGAAUAAGUGGGAGAUAUUAGACCUCGGUUUGGUAUCGUCAAUGAAAUACCACUACUCUUAUUGUUUCCUUACUUACUUGAUUAAAUGGAACGUGUAUCAUUUCCUAGCCAUUAUACGGAUAUAUUUAUUAUAUCUUAUGGUAUUGGGUUUUGAUGCAAGCUUCUUGAUCAAAGUAUCACGAGUUUGUUAUAUAAUCGCAAACAAAUUCUUUAAUAAAACGAUGCAUUUAUGUAUUUUUGAUUUGAAAAUUUGGUAUAACUCCAAUUACUCAGGUAUGAUCCAAUUCAAGGACAUUGCCAGGUAGGGAGUUUGACUGGGGCGGUACAUCUCUCAAAUAAUAACGGAGGUGUCCCAAGGCCAGCUCAGUGCGGACAGAAACCACACAUAGAGCAAAAGGGCAAAUGCUGACUUGAUCUCGGUGUUCAGUACACACAGGGACAGCAAAAGCUCGGCCUAUCGAUCCUUUUGGUUUAAAGAGUUUUUAACAAGAGGUGUCAGAAAAGUUACCAUAGGGAUAACUGGCUUGUGGCGGCCAAGCGUUCAUAGCGACGUCGCUUUUUGAUCCUUCGAUGUCGGCUCUUCCUAUCAUUGUGAAGCAAAAUUCACCAAGCGUUGGAUUGUUCACCCAUGCAAGGGAACGUGAGCUGGGUUUAGACCGUCGUGAGACAGGUUAGUUUUACCCUACUAAUGACAAAACGUUGUUGCGACAGCAUUCCUGCGUAGUACGAGAGGAACCGCAGGUACGGACCAAUGGCACAAUACUUGUUCGAGCGAACAGUGGUAUGACGCUACGUCCGUUGGAUUAUGCCUGAACGCCUCUAAGGUCGUAUCCGUGCUGGACUGCAAUGAUAAAUAAGGGGCAAUUUGCAUUGU
This 1925-nucleotide ribosomal RNA is filed under the name Drosophila erecta. RNAcentral describes it as "eukaryotic LSU rRNA". It matches the Rfam family "Eukaryotic large subunit ribosomal RNA", at positions 1553 to 3185 of the family's 3401-position model. Lineage: Eukaryota; Metazoa; Arthropoda; Insecta; Diptera; Drosophilidae. The record is from RNAcentral.